Molecule: long non-coding RNA, 112 nt
Organism: Limulus polyphemus (Atlantic horseshoe crab)
Lineage: Eukaryota; Metazoa; Arthropoda; Merostomata; Xiphosura; Limulidae
Exons: 3
Source: RefSeq, a predicted model, not a curated record
GACAUAAAAUCUGUGAAAUAUUUACAGCAACACAAAGUAAUAGUUAGUGAAUACAAAAAAAGUUAUGAGUAGCUUUAGAAUGAAUGAGAUUAUACUAUUCUUUUAGUAUCAA